Molecule: ribosomal RNA, 407 nt
Filed under: uncultured bacterium
Lineage: Bacteria
Description: partial 16S ribosomal RNA
Rfam family: Bacterial small subunit ribosomal RNA
Source: RNAcentral
AUUGAACGCUGGCGGCAGGCCUAACACAUGCAAGUCGAGCGGAGCGGCGGACGGGGGAGUAAUGCCUAGGAAUCGGCCUGGUAGUGGGGGAUAACGUCCGGUAACGGGCCCUAAUACCACAAAAUAUUAGAUGAGCAUAGGUCGGAUUAGCUAGGUGGUGGGGUAAAGGCCUACCAAGGCGACGUUCAGUAGCUGGUAUGAGAGGAUGAUCAGUCACACUGGAACUGAGACACGGUCCAUACUCCGACGGGAGGCAGCAGUGGGGAAUAUUGCACAAUGGGCGCAAGCCUGAUGCAGCCAUGCCGCGUGGAUGAAGAAGGCCCUAGGGUUGUAAAGUUCUUUCAGUCGGGAGGCGUUACCGACAGAAGAAGCACCGGCUAACUCCGUGCCAGCAGCCGCGGUAAUUC